GUACUGAUGAAGAGUCUCAAAGGGCUAUGACGAAACAGCUGUCCAGUAC
This 49-nucleotide non-coding RNA is filed under the name Trichobilharzia regenti. The record is from RNAcentral. Lineage: Eukaryota; Metazoa; Platyhelminthes; Trematoda; Strigeidida; Schistosomatidae.